AUGUGUAAAUAGCAUGUGAUAGCAAGGGCUGGGCAAGACCGGUGCCAGCCGCCGCGGUAACACCGGCAGCCCGAGUGGUGAUCACUAUUAUUGGGUCUAAAGGGUCCGUAGCCGGUUUAAUCAGUCUUCUGGGAAAUCUAAUCGCUUAACUAUUAGGCUUCCAGGGGAUACUGUUAGACUUGGGACCGGGAGAGGUAAGAGGUACUGCAGGGGUAGGAGUGAAAUCUUGUAAUCCCUGUGAGACCACCAGUGGCGAAGGCGUCUUACCAGAACGGGUCCGACGGUGAGGGACGAAAGCUGGGGGCACGAACCGGAUUAGAUACCCGGGUAGUCCCAGCUGUAAACGAUGCUCGUUAGGUGUCAGGAACGGUGCGACUGUUUCUGGUGCCGAAGGGAAGCCGUGAAACGAGCCACCUGGGAAGUACGGCCGCAAGGCUGCAACUUAAAGGAAUUGGCGGGGGAGCACUACAACGGGUGGAGCCUGCGGUUUAAUUGGACUCAACGCCGGAAAACUCACCGGGGGCGACAGCAAUAUGUAGGUCAGGUUAAAGGUCUUACCUGAAUCGCUGAGAGGAGGUGCAUGGCCGUCGUCAGUUCGUACUGUGAAGCAUCCUGUUAAGUCAGGCAACGAGCAAGACCCGUGCCCACUGUUACCAGCAUAUCCUUUAUGGAUGAUGGGGACUCUGUGGGGACCGCUGCUGCUAAAGCAGAGGAAGGUGCGGGCUACGGUAGGUCAGUAUGCCCCGAAUCUCCCGGGCUACACGCGGGCUACAAUGGUUGGGACAAUGGGUAUCUACUCCGAAAGGAGUUGGCAAUCUCUUAAACCCAAUCGUAGUUCGAAUUGAGGGCUGUAACUCGCCCUCAUGAAGCUGGAAUCCGUAGUAAUCGCGUUUCAACAUAGCGCGGUG
RNAcentral lists this ribosomal RNA (908 nucleotides) under uncultured archaeon. RNAcentral's name for it is "bacterial SSU rRNA". It matches the Rfam family "Archaeal small subunit ribosomal RNA", at positions 415 to 1320 of the family's 1478-position model. The record is from RNAcentral.